RNAcentral lists this ribosomal RNA (408 nucleotides) under uncultured bacterium. RNAcentral's name for it is "partial 16S ribosomal RNA". It matches the Rfam family "Bacterial small subunit ribosomal RNA", at positions 28 to 526 of the family's 1533-position model. The record is from RNAcentral.
GACGAACGCUGGCGGCGUGCUUAAUACAUGCAAGUCGAACGAAGUGGCGAACGGGUGAGUAACGCGUAAUCAACCUGCCCUUCAGAGGGGGACAACAGUUGGAAACGACUGCUAAUACCGCAUACUGAAGGAGGGGAUUGCGUCUGAUAAGAUAGUUGGAGGGGUAACGGCCCACCAAGGCGAUGAUCAGUAGCCGGGCUGAGAUGAUGAACGGCCAGAUGGUGACUGAGACACGGCCCAGACGCCGACGGGAGGGAGCAGUGGGGAAUCUUCCGUAAUGGACGAAAGUCUGACGGAGAAACGCCGGGUGAGUGAUGACGGCCUUCGGGUUGUAAAGAUCUGUUAAUCGGGACGCGGUACCGGAAUAGAAAGCCACGGCUAACUACGUGCCAGCAGCCGCGGUAAUAC